This 86-nucleotide transfer RNA is filed under the name Pseudomonadales bacterium. RNAcentral's name for it is "tRNA-Tyr". It matches the Rfam family "tRNA". Rfam says of the family: Transfer RNA (tRNA) molecules are approximately 80 nucleotides in length. Their secondary structure includes four short double-helical elements and three loops (D, anti-codon, and T loops). Further hydrogen bonds mediate the characteristic L-shaped molecular structure. tRNAs have two regions of fundamental functional importance: the anti-codon, which is responsible for specific mRNA codon recognition, and the 3' end, to which the tRNAs corresponding amino acid is attached (by aminoacyl-tRNA synthetases). tRNAs cope with the degeneracy of the genetic code in two manners: having more than one tRNA (with a specific anti-codon) for a particular amino acid; and 'wobble' base-pairing, i.e. permitting non-standard base-pairing at the 3rd anti-codon position. RNAcentral also lists the same sequence under 13 other names. Lineage: Bacteria; Pseudomonadati; Pseudomonadota; Gammaproteobacteria; Pseudomonadales. The record is from RNAcentral.
GGAGGGGUACCCAAGCGGCCAACGGGAGCAGACUGUAAAUCUGCCGGCUUACGCCUUCGUAGGUUCGAAUCCUACCCCCUCCACCA